UACAGGUUAAAAUGAAAAUUAUUCAUUAAAUUUCAAAAGAACGAAGGUUAAUGAAGAUCACAAAGUGAGACAGAAGUUGAAGAUGAAGAAAAUAGUGUCAACAUAAAUAGUAGAGAUAUGCAGAGUCUGGAGUAAUCUUUCAUCCGUCGGUACAAGGAUUGCUGCUCAUCCCCGGCAAGUGGUGACCGCAACGAGAUCACCUUGCAACGGACACCAUAUGGACACCGCCCCCCCCCCCAAUCCAUAAAGUCUGCGCACAUCUGCAAAACUGGAAUAAAUGCCCUAUUCACUGCCAGAGAUGAGAAGCGUAUCUGCACAUCACAACUGUCUCAAGAACUACUUCUUCCUGCUUUAAAGAAACAAAAGGGGGAACAAAGAGCAGUUCUGCAUGUGUGUGUUUUAUGUAUUGGAGCUCCAUGGUAAGAUUCCAUUUAACAAAAUGCUCAGUUGCUAGAAUAAGAAAAAGAAGAGAAAGAAGAAAUGGAAAACCACUCUCUCCUCGU
RNAcentral lists this long non-coding RNA (503 nucleotides) under Mustela putorius furo (domestic ferret). RNAcentral's name for it is "lncRNA (ENSMPUG00000023823.1)". The record is from RNAcentral. Lineage: Eukaryota; Metazoa; Chordata; Mammalia; Carnivora; Mustelidae.